RNAcentral lists this ribosomal RNA (239 nucleotides) under bacterium LRH843. RNAcentral's name for it is "partial 23S ribosomal RNA". It matches the Rfam family "Bacterial large subunit ribosomal RNA", at positions 1686 to 1934 of the family's 2925-position model. The record is from RNAcentral.
GUGUGCGAGAGAACUCUGGUUAAGGAACUCGGCAAAAUGACCCCGUAACUUCGGGAGAAGGGGUGCUUUCUUAACGGAAAGCCGCAGUGAAUAGGCCCAAGCGACUGUUUAGCAAAAACACAGCUCUCUGCGAAGCCGUAAGGCGAAGUAUAGGGGGUGACACCUGCCCGGUGCUGGAAGGUUAAGGAGAGGGGUUAGCGUAAGCGAAGCUCUGAACUGAAGCCCCAGUAAACGGCGGC